AAUUUUGUACCAGAAACUGAAAAAUCAAAGACGAUUGUGGGCUUGUGGGACAGAUAUGAGAUGUGGGGUGUGGGGCGGUUUCAUCGCUGCUCAUUCGAUCUCUAGAAUUUUAUUUUUCUCCUCUCGUCUUGUUCCCCGACGAUGCUCCCGGAAACCGCACUCUCGUCGGUGAGGAACGGGGUAACCCCGAUGCUGAUCUGAUCCCUCCCUUCCCUUCGACACCUCCCUUGCACAGCUAUCGGCGACGACCUCAAGGAAGGAGUUAGAUGGAGCUGGCGCACGUGUCAGAUCUGAAAAAGAAGGUCAGAUGCGCUCCGUUUGGGGUGGAGCGACUGCUGCCUCCAUUUUGUGUCAGUCCUCUUGAUUCACCAGAUCGAUGCUUUCUCGAUAGCACCGGCAGCAGCUCCGUGCAUCCUUGCAGCCGCCGGCGGCCGCUCCACGCAUCGUCAUCUUGUAGAUGCGGAGCGGCAGCACCGUUGAUGGAGCGAUCGGUGUUGGCGCUGCAGGAGAGCCACGAUCGGCAUCCACGCCAACCCCUUCGGAUGAGCAGCAAUUCCAACAAUUAAAUCUUUGGCAGGUACUUAUUUAGCUUGAAGGUGCGCCCAUCUGGCAUCGUUGCUGCUGCUGCUGGUCUAAAUCACGGCGCCAGUGCCAAUGUGAAAUGUUUGUGUUCACCAACAGCUUAGCUGAUUUACAACCUGUAAGAUCCCGAAGUGAAGGAGCUGCGUAAUGGGGAGGCAGAAGCAUAGGGAUUCCGGAUGUCAAUGUGCACGCAGGAGUUAGAUGAUCUGUAAUGUGAUCAAAUAGAAUGAAGUCAUAAGUUCUCACUUUUUUCUUUGCAUAUCCUGAGAUAAUGGAUUAUUGUGUUUCCUGUCGCGCGCUUCUUAUUCUUCGUUUGCUAGUAAUGUCUAGUGUACAUUUCUUGUCACGUUGACUGUGUUUUUACUGUCAAAGUGAGAAAAAAAUUCUGCUUGUAAGGUUUUUCCGGUCUCA
This is a long non-coding RNA of Panicum virgatum (switchgrass), 993 nucleotides long. RefSeq lists it as uncharacterized. The transcript is spliced from 2 exons. Lineage: Eukaryota; Viridiplantae; Streptophyta; Magnoliopsida; Poales; Poaceae. The record is from RefSeq and is a predicted model, not a curated record.